GGGUAGCUCAGUUGGUUAGUGUUGUGCUGAUAACGCCAAGGUUGCAGGUUCAAUCCCUGUAUGGGUCAGCUGCA
Non-coding RNA from Podarcis lilfordi (Lilford's wall lizard), 74 nucleotides. The record is from the annotation of a GenBank genome assembly. NCBI's taxonomy places the organism in Eukaryota, Metazoa, Chordata, Lepidosauria, Squamata, Lacertidae.